Molecule: long non-coding RNA, 375 nt
Filed under: Rosa chinensis
Lineage: Eukaryota; Viridiplantae; Streptophyta; Magnoliopsida; Rosales; Rosaceae
Description: sRNA RchiOBHm_Chr1g0335161
Source: RNAcentral
GUACAGGAUUUGGGAUGAGAAUAUGUUCUUGAUUUCCUUAGACCAGAAAACAUGAAGAUUGAUGUUGUAUCAAAGCCCUCAUUUAAGUCAGAAGAUUUCCAGUGCGAACCUUGGUUUGGGUCACAUUAUAGUAUUAUACUGAGGAAGAUGUAUCUCCAUCUUUGAUAGAUUUGUGGAAGGACCCUCCAGAAAUUGAUGUUUCAUUGCAUCUCCCAGAAAAGAAUGAGUUCAUUCCUACUGAUUUUUCCAUUUGUUUUGAUGGUCUUGAUACUACAGAUACAGCUUCUCCGAGUUGUAUAUUGGAUGAGCCAUUGGUGAAGUUCUGGUACAAACUUGAUAGUACUUGAAAACUUCCACAGGCAAAAUACUUAUUUC